CUGGGGGUCUUCUGCCCUGCGGACACUCAAGUUGGUUCCCUCCCCAGGUGGCUGAAAGAGGGAGGGCAGACGCGGCGGCAGCAGAGGCGCGGAGGGGCGCGGCCGCCCAGCCGCCAGCGCGCCCGCGGAGGCUCGGGGAGGUGGCAGCGGCUCCCGCGCUACCUCUGCGGCCGGCAGCUCCCACCAGGCGGCCCCGAGUCCACGGUCUCCCGGCAGCGCUCCCGGCCCGGGGUGAGGGCCAGCUCUUCCGCGGCGCGGCUCCCCGCGCAAGGUACUGACAAUAAAGCAACUGCAGUUUUUCUUGGGUUUGUGAACUAAGGAACUUCAGGAAGCCUGUAACUUCAGCAGGCAUUAGCUCACAACUCUGAAUCUAUUGGAAGGAACAAAGUUUUGGUGGAGAAGAUUUUAAUUUUGAUUAAGGUAUUGUUUGCAAAACUUCAGUGUGAAAUUCCUGCAGACCCCACAUUCAAUGAUAAGCUGUUGGAAUGGUCUGUAACCUCAUGUCUUCUGCAGAAGAAAUGCUGGUUUAUUACACAAUUCAACACUAUGGAAUUUCCAUGCCUGGUGAUAUUUGCGUCAUUAAUGACAGAACAGAACUCAUGACAAGGUAGAUGGUUAAUUCAUCAACAAUAAAUGUCACCUGAAUUUCAUUGUAGGUUUCAGGGGUUUUGCCAGUCUUUGCUUUUGACCUUAAAAUGCACUGAAAAAAAAAAUAGUCUAUAAUCUCACUUUGUUAAUAACAGUAAAAAAUAUUGUCUAGUUUGAGAUAUUUGCCUUUUUUUCAUAUCUUUAACAUAUGUUGCUCUUGUAUAUUUUUAUUGGUAUUAUCUUGCUAUUGCAGACCUUUACAAAGUACAAACGUUUUAUGGCCAAGCCAGUCUCCUGCUACCAAACAAAUAAGGUAGAUCAUUAAUUUUAUUUUUGUUGUUUCAUUCAGGUUCAUUACUUGAAGAAAACCAUUUUUAUCAGCUCGGAUACCAAACUGUAGUAGACUUGGUUGGUACAAAUGUUUUAAUCUAUUGUAAUGAGCUAAUACAGUUGAUGAUUCCUUAAGAA
This is a long non-coding RNA of Pogoniulus pusillus (Red-fronted tinkerbird), 1056 nucleotides long. RefSeq lists it as uncharacterized. Lineage: Eukaryota; Metazoa; Chordata; Aves; Piciformes; Lybiidae. The record is from RefSeq and is a predicted model, not a curated record. The transcript has 5 exons.